GUAACGGCGAGUGAAGCGGCAACAGCUCAAAUUUGAAAUCUGGCCUUCUGGUCCGAGUUGUAAUUUGUAGAAGAUGCUUUUGGUGCGGUGCCUUCCGAGUUCCCUGGAACGGGACGCCUUAGAGGGUGAGAGCCCCGUACGGUUGGACGCCUAGCCUCUGUAAAGCUCUUUCGACGAGUCGAGUAGUUUGGGAAUGCUGCUCAAAAUGGGAGGUAUAUUUCUUCUAAAGCUAAAUAUUGGCCAGAGACCGAUAGCGCACAAGUAGAGUGAUCGAAAGAUGAAAAGCACUUUGAAAAGAGGGUUAAAUAGCACGUGAAAUUGUUGAAAGGGAAGGACUUAUGACCAGACUUUUUCCUAGUGAAUCAUCCGGUGUUCUCACCGGUGCACUUCGCUGAGUUUAGGCCAGCAUCGGUUUCCGUAGGGGGAUAAAAGCUUUGGGAAUGUGGCUCCUCCGGGAGUGUUAUAGCCCACUGUAUAAUACCCUUCUGGGGACCGAGGUACGCGCUUCUGCAAGGAUGCUGGCGUAAUGGUCAUCAGUCACCCGUCUUGAAACACGGACCAAGGAGUCGAACAUUUGUGCGAGUGUUUGGGUGUCAAACCCUCACGCGUAAUGAAAGUGAACGGAGGUGAGAGCCUUAGGGUGCAUCAUCGACCGAUCCUGAUGUCUUCGGAUGGAUUUGAGUAAGAGCAUAACUGUUCGGACCCGAAAGAUGGUGAACUAUGCGUGGAUAGGGUGAAGCCAGAGGAAACUCUGGUGGAGGCUCGCAGCGGUUCUGACGUGCAAAUCGAUCGUCAAAUCUGCGCAUGGGGGCGAAAGACUAAUCGAACCAUCUAGUAGCUGG
Molecule: ribosomal RNA, 842 nt
Filed under: Nothodactylaria nephrolepidis
Lineage: Eukaryota; Fungi; Ascomycota; Sordariomycetes; Xylariales; Nothodactylariaceae
Description: partial large subunit ribosomal RNA
Rfam family: Eukaryotic large subunit ribosomal RNA
Source: RNAcentral